Molecule: ribosomal RNA, 506 nt
Filed under: uncultured bacterium
Lineage: Bacteria
Description: partial 16S ribosomal RNA
Rfam family: Bacterial small subunit ribosomal RNA
Source: RNAcentral
AGUGAACGCUGGCGGUAGGCCUAACACAUGCAAGUCGAACGGCAGCACAGGAGAGCUUGCUCUCUGGGUGGCGAGUGGCGGACGGGUGAGGAAUACAUCGGAAUCUACUCUGUCGUGGGGGAUAACGUAGGGAAACUUACGCUAAUACCGCAUACGACCUACGGGUGAAAGCAGGGGACCUUCGGGCCUUGCGCGAUUGAAUGAGCCGAUGUCGGAUUAGCUAGUUGGCGGGGUAAAGGCCCACCAAGGCGACGAUCCGUAGCUGGUCUGAGAGGAUGAUCAGCCACAGUGGAACUGCGACACGGUCCAGACUCCUACGGGAGGCAGCAGUGGGGAAUAUUGGACAAUGGGCGCAAGCCUGAUCCAGCCAUACCGCGUGGGUGAAGAAGGCCUUCGGGUUGUAAAGCCCUUUUGUUGGGAAAGAAAUCCAGCUGGCUAAUACCCGGUUGGGAUGACGGUACCCAAAGAAUAAGCACCGGCUAACUUCGUGCCAGCCGCCGCGGUAA